Molecule: long non-coding RNA, 666 nt
Organism: Mustela erminea (ermine)
Lineage: Eukaryota; Metazoa; Chordata; Mammalia; Carnivora; Mustelidae
Exons: 3
Source: RefSeq, a predicted model, not a curated record
AGGGAGAGGGAGAAACAGGGGGGUAGGGCCUCUUGUUGGUUUCGUCAGUCCUCAUAAAAUAUAAUGGUGCUGCCUUGUAAUUAAGAGAAAGAGCUUGUGAAAAUAAUUUUCUAGACUCAGGGUCAGAUGAAACCUCUUUGGAGUUGGAAAUGAAGACUGUGUCCCUUGGAUCACUGUGGUUGUGGAAAUGUGCCAUUGGACUGUGCCAGUUUUGUGCCACAAGAAGUGGGUCUCAUCUUAAUGUCUUCCAUGCACUGUGAGCCUUAACAGUGACUAUGAUGGGGGGAUGGGCACAGUGCCAGGCAUUAAAUAUCCAAGAAAGGAAAGGGUGGGGGGCCCUGGUACAGAAAUAUUGCCCUAGGGUCCUUUGCCUUUCCAUUUCCUGGAGAUCAUCAAAAACCCUGUCAGCUUUUCCUUUGGUGGCUGGGACACUUCUUGAGGCCUGUUGUUGAGCUCUACCCCUUUCAGAGAAAAGUGGAGGGGACUGCAGAGCUCUGAUCAAAGGUAAAUAGAGGACAAAUUUGUACAAAGGACAUACUGUACGGGAGGCUGGAUAAAUAGCUUGUGAAACACAUUCUCAAUAAGAUUCUAUCCCUGCUUCGUCAAUAAGGAACUUUGUAAGAAGGGCAGAGUUCCAUUGGAGAAAUGGAAGAUCACUGUUCAGCU